CGUGCCUAAUACAUGCAAGUCGAACGCUUCUUUUUCCACCGGAGCUUGCUCCACCGGAAAAAGAGGAGUGGCGAACGGGUGAGUAACACGUGGGUAACCUGCCCAUCAGAAGGGGAUAACACUUGGAAACAGGUGCUAAUACCGUAUAACAAUCGAAACCGCAUGGUUUUGAUUUGAAAGGCGCUUUCGGGUGUCGCUGAUGGAUGGACCCGCGGUGCAUUAGCUAGUUGGUGAGGUAACGGCUCACCAAGGCCACGAUGCAUAGCCGACCUGAGAGGGUGAUCGGCCACAUUGGGACUGAGACACGGCCCAAACUCCUACGGGAGGCAGCAGUAGGGAAUCUUCGGCAAUGGACGAAAGUCUGACCGAGCAACGCCGCGUGAGUGAAGAAGGUUUUCGGAUCGUAAAACUCUGUUGUUAGAGAAGAACAAGGAUGAGAGUAACUGUUCAUCCCUUGACGGUAUCUAACCAGAAAGCCACGGCUAACUACGUGCCAGCAGCCGCGGUAAUACGUAGGUGGCAAGCGUUGUCCGGAUUUAUUGGGCGUAAAGCGAGCGCAGGCGGUUUCUUAAGUCUGAUGUGAAAGCCCCCGGCUCAACCGGGGAGGGUCAUUGGAAACUGGGAGACUUGAGUGCAGAAGAGGAGAGUGGAAUUCCAUGUGUAGCGGUGAAAUGCGUAGAUAUAUGGAGGAACACCAGUGGCGAAGGCGGCUCUCUGGUCUGUAACUGACGCUGAGGCUCGAAAGCGUGGGGAGCAAACAGGAUUAGAUACCCUGGUAGUCCACGCCGUAAACGAUGAGUGCUAAGUGUUGGAGGGUUUCCGCCCUUCAGUGCUGCAGCUAACGCAUUAAGC
This 852-nucleotide ribosomal RNA is filed under the name Enterococcus faecium. Its description in RNAcentral is "bacterial SSU rRNA". It matches the Rfam family "Bacterial small subunit ribosomal RNA", at positions 43 to 865 of the family's 1533-position model. The record is from RNAcentral. Lineage: Bacteria; Bacillati; Bacillota; Bacilli; Lactobacillales; Enterococcaceae.